UUGCGCAGCAUAGGUGGGAGGCAGAGAAUAUAUAUUUGCGGAUGUAUAAGAGCCAUUAGUGAGAUACCACUCUGAUUAAACUAGAAUUCUAAUAUUGAUUGCCAUAAGCUGGCCAAUAAACAGUUUCAGGUGGGCAGUUUGACUGGGGCGGUCGCCUCCUAAAAGGUAACGGAGGCGUGCAAAGGUUUCCUCAGGCUGGUCGGAAAUCAGUCGUAGAGUAUAAAGGUAUAAGGAAGCUUGACUGCGAGACAUACAAGUCGAGCAGAGACGAAAGUCGGCCUUAGUGAUCCGACAGUACUG
RNAcentral lists this ribosomal RNA (300 nucleotides) under Gracilaria cervicornis. RNAcentral's name for it is "bacterial LSU rRNA". It matches the Rfam family "Bacterial large subunit ribosomal RNA", at positions 2134 to 2431 of the family's 2925-position model. Lineage: Eukaryota; Rhodophyta; Florideophyceae; Gracilariales; Gracilariaceae. The record is from RNAcentral. RNAcentral also lists the same sequence under 1 other name.